AGAGUUUGAUCCUGGCUCAGAACGAACGCUGGCGGCGUGGAUAAGACAUGCAAGUCGAGCGGGACAUUUCGGGUAGCAAUAUUCGGAAUGUUCAGCGGCGCAAGGGUGCGUAACACGUGGGCAAUUUACCAUAAAGCUUGGGAUAACUCGCUGAAAGGCGAGCUAAUACCGGAUGUGAAAUUUGGGAGGCAUCUCCCGGAUUUUAAAGUUGGGGACCGCAAGGCCUGACACUUUAUGAUAAGCCCGCGGCCUAUCAGCUAGUUGGUGAGGUAACGGCUCACCAAGGCUAAGACGGGUAGCUGGUCUGAGAGGACGACCAGCCACACUGGAACUGAGACACGGUCCAGACACCUACGGGUGGCAGCAGUCGAGAAUUUUUCACAAUGGGCGAAAGCCUGAUGGAGCGACGCCGCGUGGGGGAUGAAUGGCUUCGGCCCGUAAA
RNAcentral lists this ribosomal RNA (442 nucleotides) under uncultured bacterium. Its description in RNAcentral is "bacterial SSU rRNA". It matches the Rfam family "Bacterial small subunit ribosomal RNA", at positions 8 to 429 of the family's 1533-position model. The record is from RNAcentral.